RNAcentral lists this ribosomal RNA (443 nucleotides) under uncultured bacterium. Its description in RNAcentral is "partial 16S ribosomal RNA". It matches the Rfam family "Bacterial small subunit ribosomal RNA", at positions 338 to 795 of the family's 1533-position model. The record is from RNAcentral.
CCUACGGGUGGCUGCAGUGGGGAAUAUUGGGCAAUGGGCGCAAGUCUGACCCAGCAACGCCGCGUGAAUGAAGAAGGUUUUCGGGUUGUAAACUUCUUUUGUCAGGGAAGAAGCAAGUGACGGUACCUGAGGAAUAAGCCUCGGCUAACUACGUGCCAGCAGCCGCGGUAAUACGUAGGUGGCAAGCGUUAUCCGGAUUUACUGGGGGUAAAGGGUGCGUAGGCGGGUUAGCAAGUCCGAAGCGUAAGUCCGGGGCCCAACUGCGGGACUGCUUUGGAAACUGUCCGGCUUGAGUGCUGGAGGGGCAAACGGAAUUCCUAGUGUAGCGGUGGAAUGCGUAGAUAUUAGGAGGAACACCAGUGGCGAAGGCGACUUGCUGGACUGUAACUGACGUUGAGGCUCGAAAGCGUGGGGAGCAAACAGGAUUAGAUACCCCAGUAGUC